Molecule: ribosomal RNA, 214 nt
Filed under: Clostridioides difficile
Lineage: Bacteria; Bacillati; Bacillota; Clostridia; Peptostreptococcales; Peptostreptococcaceae
Description: partial 23S ribosomal RNA
Rfam family: Bacterial large subunit ribosomal RNA
Source: RNAcentral
AUUGAAGAGGUUUGGAAAGACCCACCACAGAAGGUAAUAGUCCUGUAUGUUAAACGAGAAGACUUUAGAUAUGAUCCAGAGUACCACGGGACACGUGAAACCCUGUGGGAAGCAGGAGGGACCACCCGCCAAGGCUAAAUACUACCUAGUGACCGAUAGCGUAUAGUACCGUGAGGGAAAGGUGAAAAGAACCCCGGGAGGGGAGUGAAAUAGA